AUUGAACGCUGGCGGCAGGCUUAACACAUGCAAGUCGAGCGGAGCGAGGGUGCUUGCACCUUAGCUUAGCGGCGGACGGGUGAGUAAUGCUUAGGAAUCUACCUAUUAGUGGGGGACAACAUUCCGAAAGGAAUGCUAAUACCGCAUACGCCCUACGGGGGAAAGCAGGGGAUCUUCGGACCUUGCGCUAAUAGAUGAGCCUAAGUCGGAUUAGCUAGUUGGUGGGGUAAAGGCCUACCAGGGCGACGAUCUGUAGCGGGUCUGAGAGGAUGAUCCGCCACACUGGGACUGAGACACGGCCCAGACUCCUACGGGAGGCAGCAGUGGGGAAUAUUGGACAAUGGGCGGAAGCCUGAUCCAGCCAUGCCGCGUGUGUGAAGAAGGCCUUUUGGUUGUAAAGCACUUUAAGCGAGGAGGAGGCUACUUAGAUUAAUACUCUGGGAUAGUGGACGUUACUCGCAGAAUAAGCACCGGCUAACUCUGUGCCAGCAGCCGCGGUAA
RNAcentral lists this ribosomal RNA (501 nucleotides) under uncultured bacterium. Its description in RNAcentral is "partial 16S ribosomal RNA". It matches the Rfam family "Bacterial small subunit ribosomal RNA", at positions 30 to 523 of the family's 1533-position model. The record is from RNAcentral.